ACGGAGAGUUUGAUUCUGGCUCAGGACGAACGCUGGCGGCGUGCUUAACACAUGCAAGUCGAACGGUGAAGACCAGCUUGCUGGUUGGAUCAGUGGCGAACGGGUGAGUAACACGUGAGCAACCUGCCCUUCACUCUGGGAUAAGCCCUGGAAACGGGGCCUAAUACCGGAUAUGACACUGCUACGCAUGUGGUGGUGUGGAAAGAUUUAUCGGUGGGGGAUGGGCUCGCGGCCUAUCAGCUUGUUGGUGGGGUGAUGGCCUACCAAGGCGACGACGGGUAAAGCCGGCCUGAGAGGGCGACCGGCCACACUGGGACUGAGACACGGCCCAGACUCCUACGGGAGGCAGCAGUGGGGAAUAUUGCACAAUGGGCGCAAGCCUGAUGCAGCGACGCCGCGUGAGGGAUGACGGCCUUCGGGUUGUAAACCUCUUUCAGCAGGGAAGCGCAAGUGACGGUACCUGCAGAAGAAGCGCCGGCUAACUACGUGCCAGCAGCCGCGGUGAUACGUAGGGCGCAAGCGUUGUCCGGAAUUAUUGGGCGUAAAGAGCUCGUAGGCGGUUAGUCGCGUCUGCUGUGAAAACUCGAGGCUCAACCUCGGGCUUGCAGUGGGUACGGGCUGACUAGAGUGCGGUAGGGGUGACUGGAAUUCCUGGUGUAGCGGUGGAAUGCGCAGAUAUCAGGAGGAACACCGAUGGCGAAAGGCAGGUCACUGAGCCGCAACUGACGCUGAGCAGAAAGCAUGGGGAGCGAACAGGAUUAGAUACCCUGGUAGUCCAUGCCGUAAACGUUGGGCACUAGGUGUGGGACCCAUUCCACGGGUUCCGUGCCGCAGCUAACGCAUUAAGUGCCCCGCCUGGGGAGUACGGCCGCAAGGCUAAAACUCAAAGAAAUUGACGGGGGCCCGCACAAGCGGCAGACAUGCGGAUUAAUUCGAUGCAACGCGAAGAACCUUACAAGGCUUGACAUACACCGGAAAAGUGCAGAGAUGUGCUCCCCGUAAGGUCGGUGUACAGGUGGUGCAUGGUUGUCGUCAGCUCGUGUCGUGAGAUGUUGGGUUAAGUCCCGCAACGAGCGCAACCCUCGUCCCAUGUUGCCAGCGGGUUAUGCCGGGGACUCAUGGGAGACUGCCGGGGUCAACUCGGAGGAAGGUGGGGAUGAGCGUCAAAUCAUCAUGCCCCUUAUGUCUUGGGCUUCACGCAUGCUACAAUGGCCGGUACAAAGGGCUGCGAUACCGUAAGGUGGAGCGAAUCCCAAAAAGCCGGUCUCAGUUCGGAUUGGGGUCUGCAACUCGACCCCAUGAAGUCGGAGUCGCUAGUAAUCGCAGAUCGCUAACGCUGCGGUGAAUACGUUCCCGGGCCUUGUACACACCGCCCGUCAAGUCACGAAAGUCGGUAACACCCGAAGCCGGUGGCCCAACCCCGCGGGGGAGCCGUCGAAGGUGGGACUGGCGAUUGGACUAAGUCGUAACAAGGUAGCCGUACCGGAAGGUGCGGCUGGAUCUACCUCCUU
This 1511-nucleotide ribosomal RNA is filed under the name Cellulomonas palmilytica. RNAcentral describes it as "bacterial SSU rRNA". It matches the Rfam family "Bacterial small subunit ribosomal RNA". The record is from RNAcentral. Lineage: Bacteria; Bacillati; Actinomycetota; Actinomycetes; Micrococcales; Cellulomonadaceae.